AGGGAACAAGAAUACUUGGACACAAUUCAAAGAACACCAUCAGAUACCUGAGGUCUAGCUUCUGGUCCCAAAUCUGUCAUUCAGAAGUGUGUAACUUGACAAUUUGUUGAAUCUCACUGGAUUUUAUUUCUGUCAAGAGUAAAAUUAACCAGAUAAGAAUUAUGCUGAGACAUAGCAGUACCUCAAAAAGUGGUGGAGGUAAUAAGCUGCAAAGUUGGAACUUGAAUCCCGGACCUCAAGCUCCAAAUCCAGAAUUCCUCACUUUCCCCCCGCUACCUGAUACAGAACUGGAGAAAAAUAAAUUUGAUUUAAUUAAGUGUAGCAGAUCCCAGGAACUAUUUUAUGUUUAAUGAUUACUUUCAAGCUUAAUUUGCCUCUAUUUAAGUGUAACUAACACAUAAUCUUUAGGAUAAACAUCUCGGAAUUCUUUCUGAAUUAUCCCCAAAUUUUAAGUUUAGGUGUGCAUUUGACAAUCUGCAUUGCUGCCAACAGUAGUUGGAAGAUUACUACCUGAAAGCUGAGGAAGUUUGCUUCAGCUACUACAUGCCCUUCCUUGUGGUAAAUGUGCAAGUCACGGCACAAUAAUUGAGGAAAUAAAUGUUGGUGCCUUAAAAUAAAUGUUGAUAUUCAAAUUUGUCCUAUUUUACCCUGGUAAAUGUGUAAGUCAUGGCACAAUACUUGAGGAACUUGAGCAGAUAAGUUUGGAGUAAAUAACCUGUGUUAUAAAAUGCACAACACUCAAAAUAAAAUGAAACACUACAACUAUGUACUUUAACUUAUGAUUCAUAGAUUUUGUAGGCCAAUUCUUUGCUAUUGGAAAACACAAAACUUUUCCAACUUUGAAGACUGGAAACAAAACACAAACUGCAAGAAAACAUUAAGUUCAUCUAUAUUUGUUCUGUAGGAGGACUCCUUCCUGUAGUUUGCAGACAGUCAUGAAUCCCCUUAGGUCAACAGCUGUCAACUUCAAUUCUCAUUUUAUCCACUCCUUCCAGUCCAAAGACUUUAGACCAAUAUUUUUAGGAAAAUAAAAGAUAUUUUCAUUUAAGUAGCAAAAUCACCAAAACUACCUACCAGAGAAAAACCAAAUACUCUCAGAAUCGUUGCUGAGGCAGGUUCAGAAGGAUUGUUCUGAGAACUACUUUGCAAGUGGAAAAAAUGAAGCCUAAGAGACUUACAUUAAAUAGGGGGUUAAAGUAUGUUUAAACACACAAAUCGAAAAGCAUGACCACUAAUAGAACCAUGUCAUCUUUGUUAAAAAUAUGAAAAUCAAUAACAGAUUUUAUUGCCUCUUCAAAGACCCUUUAUAGUGAACUUCGGACCUUAAAAAGCAAAUCAUUUUAAACAGGCAUUACUGAUGAAGCUGAUUCUUUUCUAAAUUUAUUUUUUAUCAUCUCAAGUGCAUAGAAAUGUUUCUUUCCCUAACUCCCUUAUCUGCAUUGUAUUUACUCUUUUAUGCUUUGCAUAAACUGUAACAGAUUAUUUUAUAAAAUGUAUUAAAUGCCAACUAAUCUAUA
Molecule: long non-coding RNA, 1517 nt
Organism: Homo sapiens (human)
Lineage: Eukaryota; Metazoa; Chordata; Mammalia; Primates; Hominidae
Product: long independently transcribed non-coding RNA 2830
Exons: 2
Source: RefSeq, marked validated